CUUCCUACUUGGCAGGGGAGAUACCAUAAUCAAGGUUGUUUUCCCAGGGUGAGAUCUGUCCCUUGCACUCCAGGCAGAAUGACCCCUGCAAGUUUCCAGAUGUGGAAAACUCAACUGCACAAUUUUGUAGUAACAGGGGACUGUUUGUGCUUCCCCCC
Molecule: small nuclear RNA, 158 nt
Organism: Alligator mississippiensis (American alligator)
Lineage: Eukaryota; Metazoa; Chordata; Crocodylia; Alligatoridae
Rfam family: U1 spliceosomal RNA
About the family: U1 is a small nuclear RNA (snRNA) component of the spliceosome (involved in pre-mRNA splicing). Its 5' end forms complementary base pairs with the 5' splice junction, thus defining the 5' donor site of an intron. There are significant differences in sequence and secondary structure between metazoan and yeast U1 snRNAs, the latter being much longer (568 nucleotides as compared to 164 nucleotides in human).
Source: Rfam